UUCUAUCUCCCAGCAGAGAUGGAUUUUACAAACAGAAGCAAACACUACGCAUAACAGCCACUAUCAGUCUAUCACCAUGGCCCUCUGUCUCUCUCUCCAUAUCGGCGAGCUCCAUAAAAUCUAUAUUUUACUUCGUAUUCUACUUUUCAUUCCAUCUCUCAACAAUACUGCUUAAUUCUAUCUCCCCAAAGAUAUCUUAGUCGCAAUCAACUACAGGGCCAACUAAAUGACAUGUUUGGAUCGCUUUCAGCUCUCUCUACUUUGUAAGAUUGCUCCUGUCCAGUUUCAUACAUGUUAGUGUUCUUUUGUUAAGAUUUUUUUUGAUGAAUUUACUUUAUUGUAAAUUUGAGUUUUGUUUAUUCAUUCAUACCGGGAACCGAAAGUGCAGCAUACUGGCCACCUUUCUCUCAUGAAAUUUGCUUUGUGUUGAUCUACAUUGCAAGGACAUUUCAAUUUCUCACUUGCCAGGAGUUAAAUUUUUGCUUUGCUUUGCUUGACACAAUGACAUAUGUAAUCUUCCUUGGAACCAGGGUAUUUGCAAAACAACCAGUUUACAGGCUCUAUUGAUGUCCUUUCUAAUCUUCUCCUGCAUAAUUUGAAUAUUGGAAAUAACCAUUUUCGCGGUUGGAUUCCUGAAAGAUUAAAAAACAUAAAUAUUCAGAGAGAGGGCAACUCAUGGAGUUCCGGUCCUGCACCACCUCCUCUACCUGGAACUCCUCCAUCCAGAAGUAGCAACCGAAAUAGAAAACAAAAUGACAAUAAAAACUCAUCAGAUGGUGGUGGAAGCAAGAAAUCAGGUAUAGGCGGUGGUGGUGUGGCAGGAAUUGUGAUAUCCAUUUUAGUUGUUGGAGCCGUGGUUGCAUUCUUUGUAGUGAAGAAAAGGUCCAAAAGAUCAUCUGCAGAUGUAGAGAAAUCUGAUAGUCAGCCUUUCACUUCUUACGCUUCACAAGAAGUCCAAGGUACCAAUCUUCUCCAUCCAAUAUAAAAGACUUGCUUAACAUCUUUUUUCAACUAGUCUUAUCCUUUUUCUCAGAAUCCCACCUCCGACAAUCAUAGACCUGAAAUUACACUCUUAAGAUAUGACAUCAAUAAUAGAAGACCGCUAUAUAUAUUUCAGCUAUAUAGGUAGUCAUAUUUAGGUAUUACCAUUAGUUUAGUUUAUCACUGUUGACUGCCUGAGGACUGUUCUGUUUAGUUUGCAUAUCAGGAUAUGUCCUGUUCUUUUGUUAUUGUAAUAUGUAUUGUAUUGGAUUCUGAAUUCUAUUUUGCAUACCAGUCUGCCACUGUGAUUUCAGUUUGAUUUAUAUCUAACUGCUAGACUUUGAUUCAGUUUCUUUUCUAUUUAACUGAUAUGCUUUGAUCUUGAAGAUUUCUAUUAACUGCUUGACUGUCCUGGAUUUCAAGUCUGCCACUGUGCUUGACUGUCCUGGCUUGGCUUAUAUUCAAAAUUCUAUUUAACAGCCUGGGGACUAUUCUGAUGCUUUUUUAUCUUUAGUUUAUAGGUUAGCCUUCCUUGUCUUCUGCAGAUUCUGGAUCGAAUCUUGAAUUCCAGCAAAUGCUACCAGAAAUUCUGCCGCAUCACCAAGCCUUCAGACCUGGAAAUUUUGAUCUGGAUAGGAGAGGUAUGUAGAACGUACGUAAUCAUACAUUAGCCAGUAAGUUGAUUUUGUCGAUGCCAUCUUAGCUCAAAUUACACUUGUAGUUGCCCAGAAGUGUGAUUUUUCUAAACUUUAUGCAUAUGAAUCUAUCUGAUAUUUCUGGACUUACAUGACACUACAUGAAUGAGAAUCCUGUGUGAGAGUAGUUUACUUUUAAAAUUAGACCAAAGAACUAGAAAGUUUUGAUUUCUUAUAAAAAAAUACUUACCCUGAAAUAUUGUAUUAGUCCUUCCACUUUGUUUUUCACAAUUUUUUCGGGAUUUGUGUUAAGUUCACUUUGUUAGUCCGGAUGGUAAACAUAUUGCUGUUGCUCUUCUGGAUUGUACUGUGAAGGCUAGAUUUUCUUUUUGUUCAGAAUGUUCUUUGCUUCUUUUCCUUCACUUUUGUAAUCUGUUUUUUGCUUGCCACCUUGUUUAACUAAAAUAUUUGAGUUUGGUCUGAUGUAUCUUCUAUUACAGGCUGCAGAAGAUUACCAGAAAUCCUUGAGUAGGAAUAACAGCCGCAAAUGGAUUGUACAGGCAUGUACUUGUGGUAGAUUAAUUUGCUAGCAUAGGACACAGUGUCAUAGUCAGGGAAGGCUUUCUUUUGGGAUGUAAAAAAAGAUUUUUUCCAACAAAAAUAUUAAUUUGCCAACAUCUUUUAUUAUUUGGUUUUAAAACCGAAACCAAACCAUUUCAAACCGAAACCGAAUUAAGAAAACCAAACCGCACCAAUAUUAUUUGGUUUGGUUUUGGUUUUUGAUCUUGCCUUUAGACCUUCAAGUUAAGCUUGCAUUGUUGUUUUCUAUUGAUAUUUUAAUAUUUUGGUUAUAAUUGUGUUGUUAGCACAUUGUCUUUUUCUUUAUAUAUACGAGAAAUGCUAAAAUACUUUGAAUAACUCUCCACAGUUGCAACUGGAGUAUAGGCACGUAUACAGGCAUGUAUACGUUAGGUUGUUGAAUCCGCAGUAUUGUGAAAUAUUUCUCCGCUUUUAUACUUGGUAAAUGGUAGUGAAAUGUGAAAAAUGCCUAACUAUAGCAUGCUUUUACAGUUAAAAUUGUUUGAUUUGAAUUGUGAAAUUUGCUUUUUAAUUUUUCAGCCAUAAAAGAAUUUAAAUUGGGGAACAAAAUAGACUUUUAAUUUUCCCUCAAAAAGUUUGUGAACUAUAAGAUUCUUUUUUAUUAGGGUAGUGAAAGACCACAAAUUGUUUCUGUAUAUGCACAAAGUAUGUAAAGAAUAUUGAAAUUUUAUUUUUUUGCUAAUUUAUAGAGCAUAUCUAAGUUACUUUGAAGUUUAUGCGAUCUUGGGUGUUCUUCUAUAAAGCUUUUGUUUUAUUAAGAAGCUGGAGAAAAAAGACUAAAUUGGAGUUGAGGAGCAACAGGAAUGACAAAUAUUGAUUUGUUGAUAUCAAAAAGUUUGAUUAUGCUUAGCAAAAAAUGAGGUGUGAUUAUGAUAUAACUAUUAUUUCUGGUUGAAUCAGUCUAAUCCUUGGAAUAAUUAGUUCUCUAUUAAGUAAUUAGCAUUUAAUCAUUUGUGCUUAUGGAAAUUCCGAUUAUCCAGAAUAAGCACCAGUAGUUUGAAUGGAUUGCUGCUUUUACUUUUUGUUCAGAUUGGGAGAGUGGUCAAUUUUAGUUUAAGGUAUCGUCAGCCAGCUAAUGGCAUUUUAAAGCCCUAGGUCAUUUUGUCAUCCGCGAUGGAGAAUAUACUUCUGCGUUUUAGUAUUAUCUGUUAUUCUUUGUUUUACAAUCUUACUUUUUUGAUGGCACAUUAUGUCUUCAAAUGGAACAUUAUGUCUUCAAGCGCCGCAACGAUGGUACUUUUUACAUCACAUUUUUUUCCACUUUCUUAUAGCUGAUAUAUGAAUUUUGCCCUAGGUUAAUUUUGAACAAUCACUUCAACUGUUAACCAUCUCGGUACCAUAAAUGAAGUGAUUGUUUUUAUAAUAUAUAAUUUUGAACAAUCACUUCAACUGUUAGUACAUAUUCCUGACCUAGAGAGUUUAAUUCAUGUGCAUGUGCUAUAAUUUUGUAGUUUUGUAAAUGCAGUUUGAUAUGUUGAUUUUCAGGUUCUUGUGGGAUGCCUCAAGGGAGUUCUGUAUAUUCUUACGAGGUGUCUGCAAAUGGUUUAAGGGAGUCUCCUAAUGGAAAUGAGGUUUUUAAUAAGACAACAGUGUUCCUGUUUUGGCAAGUAAUCAUGUUCCAUCGAACAUGUCAUUCUCUCCACGGACCCCUCCAGUCCAAUAGCUAAUAUAUCACAUAAGACCAAGCUAUGCUCACCUUUGACAGCUUCUGGGACAAAGAAGGGUGCUUUAAAACAUACUUAUAAUACAAAGCCUCCCCUGAACAAUAUUGGCCGCACAAAGUGUCCUUCAGUUGAAGGCACUAUUGAGAAAAAGGUCGCUGCUUCAAAAAGUGUGAAGAAGGCAUUUGCUCAUGAAUUACAUUGUCCUGACACAACUGAGGCAUCUAUCCCCUCAACAGGCCUGAAUGCCCCAUUUAGAGACUCCUCUAUAUUUAGGAAUCAGAACAAUAUUCCAAGAAGAACACUGGAUUUCAGUUCGAGUCCAGUUGAAGAUAGUUCCACAACCAAUUAUAAUGACAUAGUUUGGGCUCCCAAGUUGCUGCAGCCUUGCAGGUGGUGAUGGUAUAUAGCUUGGCGUGGGAUGAUUUACACCAUUUGGGUGCCUCAGAUUAAGAUACUAAAUCAUGAGUCCGUCAGUGAAUUGUUGAAUUCGUCAAGUUUUAAUUCAGUGGUAAAGGCAAUACAGUUUGGAAAAGCGCUUAUAUUGUUGCCAUGGGUGUAUGAUCAAGGAAUUAUUGCUAAGCACCUAAUAAGGAGAAGAAGUUGGGUUUUCAGAUUCCGAGAAAUGAGUCAGACGGUGGGUUUAGAGUUUUUUUUUUGUUGUUUUUUUACAGAAUGUGUAGUUAGUUGAAUACCAAUUUUUUUUCUCUGCUCAGGAUAGGACAUGAUAUCUUAGUGUAUUACAGAAAAAAGGUCCAGGCUUGCGGUGUUAAUAGACCAUAUUACAGAGUUCAGUUUUAAGUUACUGAUGGUUAUGAAUACAGGCAUGCAUAGUAUACUGUUCUAAUCACCAACUAUGUAGUCCAAAAUUACAUCGGAAGGUGAUUUUUUGAUCACCUUGCAAUGUAAUUUGAUUGUUCAAACAAGUAUUUAGUGCCACCUAGGCAC
Long non-coding RNA from Daucus carota subsp. sativus, 4825 nucleotides. RefSeq lists it as uncharacterized. NCBI's taxonomy places the organism in Eukaryota, Viridiplantae, Streptophyta, Magnoliopsida, Apiales, Apiaceae. The transcript is spliced from 7 exons. The record is from RefSeq and is a predicted model, not a curated record.